Molecule: small nuclear RNA, 119 nt
Organism: Dermacentor silvarum
Lineage: Eukaryota; Metazoa; Arthropoda; Arachnida; Ixodida; Ixodidae
Product: U5 spliceosomal RNA
Exons: 1
Source: RefSeq, a predicted model, not a curated record
UCGCCCAGACAUCUCAUCUAGGCACACUAUUUUUUCGCCUUUUACUAAAGAUUACCGUGGGGAGGGGCAUAUAAAUGAGCCCAAAGGCGAAUUUUGCAACGAAGCUGUACGCCUCUCGU